This 43-nucleotide small RNA is filed under the name Thermostichus vulcanus. RNAcentral's name for it is "Thermosynechococcus vulcanus Hsp17 thermometer". It matches the Rfam family "Hsp17 thermometer". Lineage: Bacteria; Bacillati; Cyanobacteriota; Cyanophyceae; Thermostichales; Thermostichaceae. The record is from Rfam by way of RNAcentral.
AUCCCGCGGGCAAUCUAAAACUAUACAGGAGGAUAAGCGUAUG